AUAAAUCUUGGGUUUUUUCUAAUUGCAUGUGUGAUUUAAACUACAUUUUCCUCAUAUCUAUGCCAACGAUUACAUUUCCAGAUCUGUGUUUAAUUUAGGUCCUCAAUAUCUAGAGGGUUAUCCUGUUGUCUAUAAAUCUUUGGUUUUUUCUAAUCGCAUGUGUGAUUUAAACUACAUUUUCCUAAUAUUUAUACCAGCAAUUACAUUUCCAGAUCUGUGCUUAAUUUAGGUCCUUAAUAUCUAAACAGUUAAGAAUUUCUGAUUGUCUAUAAAUCUUGGGUUUUUUCUAAUCGCAUGUGUGAUUUAAACUACAUUUUCCUCAUAUCUUCAAAAUAGAUAGAUGCAUGUUUGAUAUAUCAUCAAAUCUGAGACUUUAAAUUAGUAUUAGCUUCUCCAUUCCAUGAUUUUUAACUUUGAUUGUAGUUCAUAGUUGUUUUCCGAGAGAUUUGUGCGAUUCUAGAUGAUUCAUUUUAGAAUCGCAGUUGGCUUUCUUUUUUAUUUUUUGUUUUUACUACUAUAUAUUGAUAUAUUGACACAUAUCCUACGAAUUUCUAAAUUGGUUUUUGAACUACAUCCCCAGCUUAGAGAUGGAAGAAGGAACAGAUUCAUCCACAAUUGGGAGUAGGUGUUUCACACUAGUUUGCAGUAUGAGUUAACACAUUCAUUCGCUAUUCAAUGAAAAUUAGAAGUGGAAGGCUUACCCGCUAUUAUAUCCGCAAAUGAGAUCCCCUUAUUCAGUAGUCCUGCCAAAGCUCCUGCUUCUCCCUUAAUUGCAGCCUCAGAGAGCUUAUGUUGCUCGGCAAUUUAU
This is a long non-coding RNA of Ipomoea nil (Japanese morning glory), 808 nucleotides long. RefSeq lists it as uncharacterized. The transcript is spliced from 3 exons. NCBI's taxonomy places the organism in Eukaryota, Viridiplantae, Streptophyta, Magnoliopsida, Solanales, Convolvulaceae. The record is from RefSeq and is a predicted model, not a curated record.